RNAcentral lists this ribosomal RNA (186 nucleotides) under Triticum aestivum (bread wheat). RNAcentral's name for it is "partial small subunit ribosomal RNA". Lineage: Eukaryota; Viridiplantae; Streptophyta; Magnoliopsida; Poales; Poaceae. The record is from RNAcentral.
AUGACCAUCAAUAAAAGCCAGGGGCAAUCUCUUAAUGUGGUUGGGCUUUAUCUUAGAAACCCUGUAUUCUCUCAUGGACAGCUCUACGUAGCUCUGUCGCGUGUCACAUCAAGGACAGGUCUGAAAAUUGUGAUAGAAGAUGAUAAGAAGAACUACACGAUGGACAAAAAAUAUUGUCUACCGUGA